CCCAAAUCCUCUUCUAGAAGCACCUGGCAGGGGCUCUGCCUGAGCUCACAACUCCAACAAGGUCAAUGUACACCAAUCGGAUUGGAGGGACUGAGGAGUGGGCAAUCCUGCCCAGGAGGGAGAGCAUGGGACAACCAGUUCACGGUGACUUUAUGAGCUGUAAGGCUCACGGCGAAGGUCUGCAGCUUCACUUCGGAAGCCAGCGAGACCACCAACCCCCCUGGAGAAAGGAACAAGUCCAGAAGCACCACCUUAAGAGUUGUAGCACUCACGGCAAAUGUCUGCAGCUUCAUUCCUGAGCCAGCAAGACCACGAACCCCCCAGAAAGAACAAACGCCCACCACCAGAAGGAACAAACUCUGGACACGCCGCGAGGCGUGUAACUGUAACACACACCGCGAGGGUCUGUGGCUUUAUUCUUUAAGUCAGUGAGACCAAGAACCCACCAUUUCUG
Molecule: long non-coding RNA, 454 nt
Filed under: Homo sapiens (human)
Lineage: Eukaryota; Metazoa; Chordata; Mammalia; Primates; Hominidae
Description: non-protein coding lnc-PML-1:1
Source: RNAcentral